This 200-nucleotide ribosomal RNA is filed under the name uncultured bacterium. RNAcentral's name for it is "partial 16S ribosomal RNA". It matches the Rfam family "Bacterial small subunit ribosomal RNA", at positions 524 to 720 of the family's 1533-position model. The record is from RNAcentral.
CACGUAGGGCGCGAGCGUUGUCCGGAAUUAUUGGGCGUAAAGAGCUCGUAGGCGGCCUGUUGCGUCCGCUGUCGAAAGCCCGGGGCUUAACCCCGGGUCGGCAGUGGAUACGGGCAGGCUAGAGGUAGGUAGGGGAGAAUGGAAUUCCCGGUGUAGCGGUGAAAUGCGUAGAUAUCGAGGAGACGAGCCGAGUGGUCGAG